GACGAACGCUGGCGGCGUGCUCAACACAUGCAAGUCGAACGGAAAGGCCCUGCUUUUGUGGGGUGCUCGAGUGGCGAACGGGUGAGUAACACGUGAGUAACCUGCCCUUGACUUUGGGAUAACUUCAGGAAACUGGGGCUAAUACCGGAUAGGAGCUCCUGCUGCAUGGUGGGGGUUGGAAAGUUUCGGCGGUUGGGGAUGGACUCGCGGCUUAUCAGCUUGUUGGUGGGGUAGUGGCUUACCAAGGCUUUGACGGGUAGCCGGCCUGAGGGGGUGACCGGCCACAUUGGGACUGAGAUACGGCCCAGACUCCUACGGGAGGCAGCAGUGGGGAAUAUUGCACAAUGGGCGGAAGCCUGAUGCAGCAACGCCGCGUGCGGGAUGACGGCCUUCGGGUUGUAAACCGCUUUCGCCUGUGACGAAGCGUGAGUGACGGUAAUGGGUAAAGAAGCACCGGCUAACUACGUG
RNAcentral lists this ribosomal RNA (468 nucleotides) under uncultured bacterium. RNAcentral's name for it is "partial 16S ribosomal RNA". It matches the Rfam family "Bacterial small subunit ribosomal RNA", at positions 28 to 507 of the family's 1533-position model. The record is from RNAcentral.